Molecule: ribosomal RNA, 432 nt
Filed under: uncultured bacterium
Lineage: Bacteria
Description: partial 16S ribosomal RNA
Rfam family: Bacterial small subunit ribosomal RNA
Source: RNAcentral
CCUACGGGUGGCAGCAGUGAGGAAUAUUGGUCAAUGGGCGCAAGCCUGAACCAGCCAUGCCGCGUGCAGGAAGACGGCCUAUGGAUUGUAAACUGCUUUUAUUGGGGAAUAGGUACUCAAUGAAUAAGCACCGGCUAACUCCGUGCCAGCAGCCGCGGUAAUACGGAGGGUGCAAGCGUUAUCCGGAAUCAUUGGGUUUAAAGGGUCCGCAGGCGGAAAAAUAAGUCAGUGGUGAAAUCUUACAGCUUAACUGUGAAACUGCCAUUGAUACUGUUUUUCUUGAAUUCGAUCGAAGUGGGCGGAAUAUGACAUGUAGCGGUGAAAUGCUUAGAUAUGUCAUAGAACACCGAUAGCGAAGGCAGCUCACUAGGUCUGAUUGACGCUCAGGGACGAAAGCGUGGGGAGCAAACAGGAUUAGAUACCCCAGUAGUC